AAUAAAGUGCCUGAUUAAAGGAUUAUUAUGAUAAAAUAAAUUAUGUAGAUUUCUACCUUUAUUA
RNAcentral lists this transfer RNA (64 nucleotides) under Astrotischeria sp. MJT-2014. RNAcentral's name for it is "tRNA-Ile". The record is from RNAcentral. Lineage: Eukaryota; Metazoa; Arthropoda; Insecta; Lepidoptera; Tischeriidae.